GACGAACGCUGGCGGCGUGCUUAACACAUGCAAGUCGAACGGAAAGGCCCUGCUUUUGUGGGGUGCUCGAGUGGCGAACGGGUGAGUAACACGUGAGUAACCUGCCCUUGACUUUGGGAUAACUUCAGGAAACUGGGGCUAAUACCGGAUAGGAGCUCCUGCUGCAUGUGGGGGGAUGGAAAGAUUCGGCUGUUGGGGAUAGAUUCGCGGCUUAUCAGCUUGUUUGUGGGGUAGUGGCUGACCAAGGCUUUGAGGGGUAGCCUGCCUUAGAGGGUUAACGGCGACAUUGGGACUACGAGACGGCCCAGACUCCUAUGGUCGGCAGCGGUGGGGAAUAUGGCGCAAUGGGCGGAAGCGUGAUGCAGUAACGUCGCGUGCGGGAAGCCGGCUUUCGGGUUGUAAACAGCUUUCGCCUGUGACGAGGCGUGCGUGACGGUAACGGGUAAAGAAGCACCGGCUAACUACGUG
RNAcentral lists this ribosomal RNA (468 nucleotides) under uncultured bacterium. RNAcentral describes it as "partial 16S ribosomal RNA". It matches the Rfam family "Bacterial small subunit ribosomal RNA", at positions 28 to 507 of the family's 1533-position model. The record is from RNAcentral.